This 305-nucleotide ribosomal RNA is filed under the name uncultured bacterium. RNAcentral describes it as "bacterial SSU rRNA". It matches the Rfam family "Bacterial small subunit ribosomal RNA", at positions 336 to 659 of the family's 1533-position model. The record is from RNAcentral.
UUCCUACGGGGCGCAGCAGUGGGGAAUAUUGCACAAUGGGGGAAACCCUGAUGCAGCAACGCCGCGUGAGUGAAGAAGUAUUUCGGUAUAUAAAGCUCUAUCAGCAGGGAAGAAGAUGACGGUACCUGAGUAAGAAGCCCCGGCUAACUACGUGCCAGCAGCCGCGGUAAUACGUAGGGGGCAAGCGUUAUCCGGAUUUACUGGGUUUAAAGGGUGCGUAGGCGGGCUGUUAAGUCAGCGGUAAAAGCCCGGGGCUCAACCCCGGCGAGCCGUUGAAACUGGCUGUCUUGAGAUGUCGAGAGGUA